Molecule: ribosomal RNA, 253 nt
Filed under: uncultured bacterium
Lineage: Bacteria
Description: partial 16S ribosomal RNA
Rfam family: Bacterial small subunit ribosomal RNA
Source: RNAcentral
GACGUAGGAGGCGAGCGUUGUCCGGAGUGACUGGGCGUAUAGCGCGCGCAGGCGGUCGUGUGCGCCCGGGGUGAAAGGCGUCGGCUCAACCGGCGAGCGGCCUCGGGGACGGGACGACUGGAGGGCGGGAGAGGUCGGUGGAAUUCCCGGUGUAGUGGUGAAAUGCGUAGAGCUCGGGAGGAACACCCGCGGCGAAGGCGGCCGACUGGACCGACCCUGACGCUGAGGCGCGAAGGCGCGGGGAGCGAACGGG